Triticum aestivum (bread wheat) is the source of this 2216-nucleotide long non-coding RNA. RefSeq lists it as uncharacterized. The record is from RefSeq and is a predicted model, not a curated record. NCBI's taxonomy places the organism in Eukaryota, Viridiplantae, Streptophyta, Magnoliopsida, Poales, Poaceae. The transcript has 5 exons.
CAGCCGUGGAGCAAGGCGGCCAAGCUGUGUGGGAGCUCAAGGUCCGCAGCCGGCACACGCAUGGCAGGGGCAGCACAAUGGAGCGCCCGAGGCGACCCAGUUCGCAUCUUCCGGGAGCGCUGCCACAAGAUUCAUGAUCGCCGCCGCUAGUUGCAGUGCGCCAGGGAACUAUUGCUGUCGAUGCUUCCAUAAAUCUGGUGUUAUCCGUCUCUAGUCUCGUGAUCCGGGUGGCCAUUCUUGUGCUGGUUGUGGUCGAUGUUGUCAUGCGUGUGCUGGAUUAGGUGACAGUAGCGAUCUGGAUUAUUAUGUAGGCACUCAAGUGAGCUCGCGUUCCAGCAGAUAGGGCUCAAAACAGAGCUCCUCCAUCCCUGGUGCGUCCACAGGCUGUCAUCGCUGAUGGAUGAUGAGGGUGAGAAUCAAGAGUUUCAUGCGGGGGGCAGUCCGAAAAUCAAGAAAGCCGCUGUGCUGGGCAGCCGGUGGUGGUUUGUCAGAGAUUGAGCCGGCAAUCACGUCUCGGCUAUCAGUGAAGCGUGUGGUCGAGGUUGUGCAAAAGUUUGAUGAGUAUAAGAGAUGGCCUGUAUCAGAGAUGGGUUGGGUGGAAUAUUGAAGAUGCCGGUGCUCGUCAAAUUGGACCUGCGAAUGAGCCUCUGGGUUAUGAGGAAGGUGAAGGUUAGGCCUCGCGUAAUAGCUAUUGAUGAUGACAGGAAUGUUUUCUUUACUGCGGAGGAUUCCCAUAAGAUAUUCGGGGUCCCGUGCGGCAACCAAGAUGUUCGUGUCAGGGAUACAAACAUUGCUCCUUCGGCGUUCAAGUUCAUAAAGCAGGCAAUUGGGAUGGACAACUCAGCAUCGAACUACCUUCAUCAGCAAAGACAUUUAUGAGGAAUCUAGUAAGAUCAAGAAGGGUUGUUUUCAGAUUGCGCUUGUGAUUUUCGUCAUGGGUUACAUGCUAGCACUGUGCACAGAGCAUGACUUCAUGAUGAUUGAUUUCGGGGGUGUCGUGACUAAUGCGGAAAUCGUAACUCAAUUCAAUUGGUGUGAGUAUGCUAUUCUAAAUUUGAUGGUAGCGGUCAUGAAAAAUUGAAAAUGCAGAGUGAUUUUCAGAACAAUGUACCAACGAUUCAUCUAUCUGGAUGCCACCUUUUCUUCCAGAUUCUCUUGACGGACAACAUUGAUCUUGGGAUUUUCAAUACAAUCCACUCAGUAUUACCUUGCGUGCAGUGCUUCGAACAGAAAACACUUCGGCAAAUGAUCACAAUGGCGUAUAGUACGAAGCAGGGCAUGCCGAGUUAUGUGCCAGCAGCGGUAAAGGCGGUCAUGCGUUAUGUGGCAGCGUACACUUGUUCAGGUCACACCAAAACUCGAGAUUGUUGUGUGUGCUGUAAGCACCGACUUGAAUUAUACUCCCUCCGUUCCAAAUUACUCGUCAUGGUUUUAGUUCAAGAACUAAAACCACGACGAGUAAUUUGGAACGGAGGGUGAACUAAAACCACGACGAGUAAUUUGGAACGGAUGGAGUAGGUACGACCUCCAGAUUCACUGUGCUAUUACUUGGUAUCCGUGAACAAGAUAGUCAACACACUGAUGGUGAUGUAAUGGCAUCUUCAUCCAAGCCAGUAUCUUCAAGUGCACCUGCGACAGCGUGCGAGCAUACACCGGAUUUGCAUGUCAAUACGAGGGUGCCACCGUCAGGCUCGCUGGGGGACCCCAUGUCCGCACAUUGUUCGAUAGGCCGAGUUUCGCCAAUCAUCUUCGCCAUGCUUGCGAGGGCGAUCCGGUUCUCCAAGAAUUCAGCUUGAUGUCGAAGCAGUAGAAUGCAAAGUGCACGCUCAGCAUGUCGCUGCUCCGCAAGAGGAUGCAGUCUGGCAUGCUUUGUUUUGCUGACAAAAUUGUAUCUUUGGUCAGAGAUCGCUGUAGAUGCUGUGUCAACCGCGGCUUGACAAAGUGCAUUACAAUAGCUGAUUGUGACAACCGAUAUGCAGGAAUAUAAAUUGUAAUAGUCAUAUGCUUCUCCUAGUGAAUCAAAGUUGUCUUCGACUUGAGGAAUUACCACAGUAUCAGUCUUCUUCUCUGCAUAACAUCUCACUGUUUUCUCCAACACACUUAUUCUGCCAGCAAAGGUUGGCCGUUCAAGAGAUGCAUGCCCAACAUGGACCCUAUGAAAUUCAGAAACGAAUGAGUAUCACAUAAGUAGAAGGGUUUUGCUUAGGUAAAUAUAA